CGUGGGGAACCUGCCCCAUAGUCUGGGAUAACACCUGGAAACAGAUGCUAAUACCGGAUAACAACAGAUGAUGCCUAUCAACUGUUUAAAAGAUGGUUCUGCUAUCACUCUUGGAUGGACCUGCGGUGCAUUAGCUAGUUGGUAAGGUAACGGCUUACCAAGGCAAUGAUGCAUAGCCGAGUUGAGAGACUGAUCGGCCACAUUGGGACUGAGACACGGCCCAAACUCCUACGGGAGGCAGCAGGU
Molecule: ribosomal RNA, 246 nt
Filed under: uncultured Lactobacillus sp.
Lineage: Bacteria; Bacillati; Bacillota; Bacilli; Lactobacillales; Lactobacillaceae
Description: partial 16S ribosomal RNA
Rfam family: Bacterial small subunit ribosomal RNA
Source: RNAcentral